GACGAACCGAGCGAACGUUGUUCGGAAUCACUGGGCUUAAAGGGCGCGUAGGCGGGUGCUCAAGUCUGUGGUGAAAUCCUCCGGCUCAACCGGAGAACUGCCAUGGAUACUGGGCGUCUCGAGUGUGGUAGGGGUAUGCGGAACUAUCGGUGAAGCGGUGAAAUGCGUUGAUAUCGAUAGGAACUCCGGUGGCGAAGGCGGCAUACUGGACCACCACUGACGCUGAUGCGCGAAAGCCAGGGGAGCAAACGGG
This 253-nucleotide ribosomal RNA is filed under the name uncultured bacterium. Its description in RNAcentral is "partial 16S ribosomal RNA". It matches the Rfam family "Bacterial small subunit ribosomal RNA", at positions 524 to 776 of the family's 1533-position model. The record is from RNAcentral.